Molecule: unclassified non-coding RNA, 240 nt
Filed under: soil metagenome
Description: partial contains 5.8S ribosomal RNA, internal transcribed spacer 2, and large subunit ribosomal RNA
Source: RNAcentral
AAGACUAUAGACCUGCGGAGUACCUGGGAGGGAUCAUUACCGAGUUUACAACUCCCAAACCCAAUGUGAACGUUACCAAACUGUUGCCUCGGCGGGAUCUCUGCCCCGGGUGCGUCGCAGCCCCGGACCAAGGCGCCCGCCGGAGGACCAACCAAAAACUCUUUUGUAUACCCCCUCGCGGGUUUUUUAUAUCUGAGCCAUCUCGGCGCCUCUCGUAGGCGUUUCGAAAAUGAAUCAAAA